AACGAACGCUGGCGGCAUGCCUAACACAUGCAAGUCGAACGAGACCUUCGGGUCUAGGGGCGCACGGGUGCGUAACGCGUGGGAACCUGCCCUUAGGUUCGGAAUCACUCCCCGAAAGGGGUGCUAAUACCGGACAAUGUCUUCGGACCAAAGAUUUAUCGCCGUUGGAUGGGCCCGCGUUGGAUUAGCUAGUUGGUAGGGUAAAAGCCUACCAAGGCGACGAUCCAUAGCUGGUCUGAGAGGAUGAUCAGCCACACUGGGACUGAGACACGGCCCAGACUCCUACGGGAGGCAGCAGUGGGGAAUAUUGGACAAUGGGCGAAAGCCUGAUCCAGCAAUGCCGCGUGAGUGAUGAAGGCCUUAGGGUUGUAAAGCUCUUUUACCCGGGAUGAUAAUGACAGUACCGGGAGAAUAAGCUCCGGCUAACUCCGUG
Molecule: ribosomal RNA, 433 nt
Filed under: uncultured bacterium
Lineage: Bacteria
Description: partial 16S ribosomal RNA
Rfam family: Bacterial small subunit ribosomal RNA
Source: RNAcentral